CACNCCGUAAACGAUGAGUGCUAGGUGUUAGNCCCUUUCCGGGGCUUAGUGCCGCAGCUAACGCAUUAAGCACUCCGCCUGGGGAGUACGACCGCAAGGUUGAAACUCAAAGGAAUUGACGGGGGCCCGCACAAGCGGUGGAGCAUGUGGUUUAAUUCGAAGCAACGCGAAGAACCUUACCAGGUCUUGACAUCCCGAUGCCCGCUCUAGAGAUAGAGUUUUACUUCGGUACAUCGGUGACAGGUGGUGCAUGGUUGUCGUCAGCUCGUGUCGUGAGAUGUUGGGUUAAGUCCCGCAACGAGCGCAACCCUUAUUGUUAGUUGCCAUCAUUCAGUUGGGCACUCUAGCGAGACUGCCGGUAAUAAACCGGAGGAAGGUGGGGAUGACGUCAAAUCAUCAUGCCCCUUAUGACCUGGGCUACACACGUGCUACAAUGGCUGGUACAACGAGUCGCAAGUCGGUGACGGCAAGCUAAUCUCUUAAAGCCAGUCUCAGUUCGGAUUGUAGGCUGCAACUCGCCUACAUGAAGUCGGAAUCGCUAGUAAUCGCGGAUCAGCACGCCGCGGUGAAUACGUUCCCGGGCCUUGUACACACCGCCCGUCACACCACGAGAGUUUGUAACACCCGAAGUCGGUGAGGUANCC
RNAcentral lists this ribosomal RNA (644 nucleotides) under uncultured bacterium. Its description in RNAcentral is "bacterial SSU rRNA". It matches the Rfam family "Bacterial small subunit ribosomal RNA", at positions 796 to 1440 of the family's 1533-position model. The record is from RNAcentral.